CAGUGGCGUAUGUUAAUUCUGCUGCAGUUAAAAAGCUCGUAGUUGGCGUAAGUUGGUGUUUUGUUUGCGCGGAGGUCCGUGUGGGCGGUUUGAGUUGCGUUUCUUCGGAGAUGCCCGGCGCCCCGUGAGUACCCAUUUUUCCGCCGACCGCCAGGUCGGGUUUGUUUCUGUUUUUCGGAGCAGAAGCGGGCCCCCCACACUGUGAACAAAGUAGAGUGUUCCAAGCAGGCCGUAAGGGCCGGGAUAUUUCAGCAUGGAAUGGAGACUGGACUGAUGGUCGAGUCGCUGUGUGUAUGUAGCCGAGCAUGAGUAAUCGAUGAUAGGAACGGAGCGGGGGUGCUCGUACGCGACGUCUACCGGUGAAAUGGAUUGACACGUUGCAGACGAACUAGUGCGAAAGCAUUCACCAAGUACGUGUCCUUUA
This 424-nucleotide ribosomal RNA is filed under the name uncultured eukaryote. RNAcentral describes it as "partial 18S ribosomal RNA". It matches the Rfam family "Eukaryotic small subunit ribosomal RNA", at positions 592 to 975 of the family's 1831-position model. The record is from RNAcentral.